UCUAUCUAUCUCACGUCCUUUUUCUCUAUCUCAUUCUCUCUCUUUUUUCACUUUCUCUCUCUCUUUUUUCUCUUUCUCUCUCUGCGCCAUUCUUCUCCCUCUUCCACAACCUCCCCCCUCUGCUUCUUGUUCUUCUUCUUAUUCUUUGUCUUCCCCAACCUUCAUUCUGUAACAAAAUCAUCACCAUCCUCCUAUCUCUUUUGGUAUAUUUGUAUCACACCGAAAAAAUAAUGGUGUGCGAAUCAGCUUACGACGUGCAAAUAAGUUGGGUUAUGAAUUUAGGGUUUCAUCUUUUUUUUUUGAAAUCUUCUGAUUUAGUGUGUGUUGAUUUCAAGUAUGGUAGAUUCAUAAGGUUAAGCCUGAGUUGAGUUUUUUCGCUGAGUUUUUAAGCUAACAAAGAAUAUCGUCGGACGAGAUACGGAAGCGUGUCAGUAGCCACUCGGAAUUGCAGCACCCGAUAGAAGUGGUUAUGGGCUUAGGACGAAGAGCGAUGACCAGUGUAAAUGUUUGAGAAAGGGUUUAUAAAUAUAUUCACAAGCUGCAGAAAGUUAAUGAAACAAAAGAACGUGGACUUAAACAAGCUCAUAAUUAUGCAAGCCCAUGGAUGUUGACUAUGCUUACAGAUAACUACAAGUUUAUCGGUGUUGCGACAUAUGAUGAUAACAUGAAGGUAAAAAGAACAGCGUUUUCGAAGUGUAUGAGUUUAUGAUAUCCUGUAAAGGUGCUUCAAUAUACCAUCAUUGCCAUCAAAACCUUACAAUUAGAUCCAUGCCUACACUUUCACUUCUUCUUGAUAUCUUCAAAACCUUACUAUUAGAUCCAUUAUUUUACAAGUGACGCUAAAGUCAUCAUUGCCAAGGAAAGAGCAACAACUAAAGACUUUCUAUCAUGUCAGAUACCCUAAAAGAAAAUAGAGGACCAGAGUUGAGGUUGUGCAGUUCUUUCUGUUACAAUUUUUUAAAACUUUUUUUCAAUAUUUUUAUAUCUUUUCAUCCAAGUAUUACAACAUGUUGGCCAAAAAAGGUGUCUGAAGGAACAUGUGAUUCAGAAGUAAAAUCAGCAAGAACAUCUGCAGAAAAGGGACUCGAUCGUAGCUUUGAUGUGAAAGUAGCUAUUGUUGUUGAUGCAGUUAAAAAGGGUAGCAAAAUUUCAGAAGAAAGAACCACGGGUGAUGGUGGGCCAUCUUCCUGAAAGUCGAAGGACAAGAAAAAAGGUAGUGGAAAAACAGAAGAAAGAACCGAGGUUGAUGGUGGGUCAUCUUUGCGGGAGCUGGAGGACAAGAAAAAGAAGGGACAUGUGAAAGGUAGUUCUAGAAAAGGUUUAGCAAAAUCUUCCUUGAAAGAUGAGGAUAAGGUACUUUUAUGCUUACUUCAUUAGCUGCAACAUGGUAUUUUUGUGUCCAAAAGCAAACUAUUGACUAAUUUUGCGCACUCCAGGAAAAGAAAAAGUGUGAACCCUGCUCUUUUCUGUUAUAAUUUUGAUGAAAAACCCCAUGAUUUAAUCAUUUUGCGCUGUCCUUUGGGAAUGGUAUUUUUUGCAGUUUUAUGGUUUUUGUGUUGGACUUUUGCAAUGUGAUCAAAUAGUUUGCUGAGUAUUUUUUAAUGGGAAUACUGAUUUGGUGAAAUAACAAAAAUUUGUGUUGUAAAGUUGGUAUCAGUGCAGUGGUUGCUAGUUUUUGUAGGGGUCGAAGAAUUCGGAUAUUUUCUACAUAACUGACCAUGCGAUUAUUGUUGUUGCAGCAUAAUGUCCGAAGGAGUUUAAUUUGAGGAUUGUUAUAAAUUUGAUAUACAGGUCUAAAAAUUUGAUAUUACUGUUAGCAUUUAUAGUUUAUUCAACUUAAUUCCUACUAUAGAAUGAUUUAAAUAUAACAGGAAGUAACUGAGACAGACAACGAUGUUCAUGCUGCAGCAUGGGAAAAAAUUUCAAAGGAUUAAGAACCAUACUGUUAGUUUUCAAAGGAUGAAGAACCAUACUAUUAAUUUUCUUUCUUUCAUUGUCGCCGUCCUUGGUGGCCAAGUAACGUAACGUUACUAAAAUCUUCUAAAUAUUGAAUUUCAUUUUUGAUUUUGUUUAUUUGUUAAUUUGUUUUGCUUUUGGAAAUAACUAUUGCUUUGUAUAUCAUGCUAUUUAAAGAAGAAAAGACUUGCCGCUUUUCUUGCCUCUGUUUUAUUUAUGGUCAUACUCAAAAUUUUAUUUCUUUGGACAAUUUAUUACUUUAUUUCUUAUAUUAUUUGUGCAUAGUUUAAGGUUCUCAUGCUCUUUGAUAGAAGUCAUUAUCUAUUUUCUUUGCUCUAGUUUGAAUUUAUUUACUUAUUUAUAUAUACUUUUCCACAGGUUAAGAUUUGUGAUGAUGAUGAGUUUCUUGUGAUAGCAUGUGAUAGGAUAUGGUAGGUUACUCAGAUUUCCUCUAAAAACCGUCUUGAUGUUACCAGCUGCAUAUAAAUGGGAUUGCAUGUCCAACCAACGACUUGUGGACUAUAUUCAUGGCCAGUUAAAGGCAGAGGAUAAACUUUAUGCGGUUUGUGAGAAAGUAUUUGAUAUGUGCUUCACACCAACAGUUGGCAUACUCGUUGAUUUUCAUCCGAGUUGGAGCCCUUCUUUCAUUUGUGAUGCAAAGAAUCCAUUUGUUCUCAUGAUCAAAAUCAAUGGAUGAGUAUUUCUCUUCAACGAUGAUAAAGUGUUUAUCCCUUUUAAAAAUCUUUUCCCUUUUAAGUGGAAUUACAUUAGCUCUGACUUCUCCAUUGCACCGAGGAGGUAUGUAGGCACAAGGCUUAAUGUCUCGCCGAGCUUAUUUUAAAAAUAAAACAAAUCCUUUUUUUAGCACACGACACAGAUUUUCAAAAAGGUUCCUGUGGAAUACCAUAGAUAUGAGGGGUGCUUAAAACCUUCCCCUUGUAUAAUCAAUACCCGUACCUAAGAUCUCUUUUUGUUUUAUUAAAACAAACUUUGGGUUUUUUCGUUCUUUUCCCAUUUCCUUUGGAAACAAUAAAACGCGGUGGCGACUUUCACUGAAAUAUUGAGUCGAGUCAAUUAAUGGCUUUGAUCUCAGAUUUUCCCCGCUACAUAACAAUGAGUUAUUCAACUGAGCUAAAAUUACCAAGUUUGGAUACAGAGUGUGUGAUAUGUCUUCUUCAAAAAUGGAGACUACCUAACUUUUAGCUACAUAUGAUUGACAAAAUUGGAAUUAGUUGCAACUAUUACUUGCAUAAAUUGGGAUUUCUGGCCAAUUUGGAGACGGUUGAGCAGAUGCAUCUGAAGCUGGAGGAUUUAGAGCCGGUUGAGCAGAUGGCUGAGGUUGGUCUAUGGCAGAAGCAUCUGAAGUGGAAGUAUUUUUGAACUGAAUCAAGAUCAUGGUCAUGUUAUCACAUGCUCUUUCACGUGGAAAAGAUUCCAUUAUAUCAAUCAAUCUCAAAAUCGUGGGGUAUCGCAACUCACUACAACAAUUAAUCGUGUCUAAACUUUGAAAGAAAAGCCACUAAGGGCAGAAGAUAUUUUAGAGAAAUAUUUUUAAAAAUAUUGCAAACAUAAGAAGAUUUUGGAAAAAGGGAGAAGAUUUUGAAAAUCUAUGAAGGGGGGGAGAUGAAGAGGCUAUCCUAGUGUAUAAAAUAAAAGCUAAGGAAAGAACAAUCUAACCAAAAAGAAGCCAACACUUGACAUUAAGAGUCAAGGUAGAUUUCCCAUCCUUUAGACUAUCAAAACUAAGCCAACACAUUACCACUUGGGGAUCCAGAUGAACUUAUUAUCUUUAGCACCACUUUGCAUUAAGCACAUUAAAAUUCUGAUGAAAAUCGGGCAGAGUAGCGGCUGUUUUUGGAUAAAAUACUUAUCACGACGCCUUGGAAUUAACCAUCAAGGGCUUUCGAGGAAAUACCUACACACACAAACAGACAACAAUCCAAUGCCAGACAGAUGGAAUAACAAUAGAGUAACAACAGAAUAACAGGGUCCAGAGGUACUAAGUCCAACAAGUCCAAGUCUCUAAAAUGCUCGGGAUAAUAACCAAUAGUCCAUAGGGCCUUAAGUAUUUUUUAGAUUUUAAGUUAUUUAUUAAUGUUUUAGCAUAAAAAUAGAGUAUGGUCCAAAUGGACAAAAAGAAAAUAGCGGAAACAUAAACAAAACUUCCAAAUGGACAAAGAGAAAAUAGCGGAAUAUAAAUGUCAAAAUGGACAAAGAGAAAAUGGCGGGAGCAUAAACAUGAUGAAAUGAUAAAAUAAAGCAUAAAGCGAGAAAUAUAAAGAGCAAUAUAAUAAAAGUGCGGAAAUUAAAGUCAAUUGUUAGAUGUUAAAUAUAACCAUCUUGAAGCUUGUCAAGUAUGUUAUCAAAGUUAGUAAUAAAGAUCGAUGGUGAGUGAAGGAUGUUCUCGGAUUUAAA
This is a long non-coding RNA of Vicia villosa (hairy vetch), 4371 nucleotides long. RefSeq lists it as uncharacterized. The transcript has 6 exons. The record is from RefSeq and is a predicted model, not a curated record. Lineage: Eukaryota; Viridiplantae; Streptophyta; Magnoliopsida; Fabales; Fabaceae.